UACGUAGGUGGCGAGCGUUGUCCGGAUUUACUGGGCGUAAAGGGAGCGUAGGCGGACUUUUAAGUGAGAUGUGAAAUACCCGGGCUCAACUUGGGUGCUGCAUUUCAAACUGGAAGUCUAGAGUGCAGGAGAGGAGAAUGGAAUUCCUAGUGUAGCGGUGAAAUGCGUAGAGAUUAGGAAGAACACCAGUGGCGAAGGCGAUUCUCUGGACUGUAACUGACGCUGAGGAGCGAAAGCGUGGGGAGCAAACAGG
RNAcentral lists this ribosomal RNA (253 nucleotides) under uncultured bacterium. RNAcentral's name for it is "partial 16S ribosomal RNA". It matches the Rfam family "Bacterial small subunit ribosomal RNA", at positions 524 to 776 of the family's 1533-position model. The record is from RNAcentral.